Molecule: long non-coding RNA, 829 nt
Organism: Anopheles stephensi (Asian malaria mosquito)
Lineage: Eukaryota; Metazoa; Arthropoda; Insecta; Diptera; Culicidae
Exons: 5
Source: RefSeq, a predicted model, not a curated record
GUCACGAGCGAUGUUUACAAAAAAAUUAACUCAACAACGCCGACUGGUAUCACAGCGUCAGUUUGUGCAGUAAAAAUGGGAAUGAAAACUAACUUUAGAAAAUUUGCAGAUUACUUGACGAGUGUGUGCAUUUUAGGUACAAACAACAGCCUCGACGCCGACAAUGGGGAAGAUGGUACAGCGUACGCAAUGAAUCGAUCGGUAGAAGAUUUCGGUUUAAAAUAAUUUUACUCUCCUACAAUUCGGAUGUAACACAACCGACAUGUUUCGGGUUUGAUCCCAUGCGAAUUGGAUCUCGCCGAGUCUUACAAAUGUCUCACAAAGCGAUGAACCGGAGCAAAAGGAAGACAAGUUUAGCUAGCAUUUGCCUGAUGAUUCAACAGAAACGAAUGUAGUUCCCGAUAUAAACGUUUAACCAUUCAGAAUCACACUAUCCGAAUCCAGCAAAGCCGGCGACGGUGUGUGCGUAAAGACUGGUCGCAUUUUGUAACGACUAACAUCGCAUUUUUACUCUGCGUCGUGAAAAGAAUAUUGUAACACCGUUUAAAGUAGAUGUUUUCUUAUCUGUUUUAGCUACAACAAAACGAAAUGCCUUGAAUCCUCUUCCCAAACCGUUCCUUGGUGAUGGUCGGUGAUGGUGAUUGGAAGUAAUGCCCAUCAUCGCUACACAAAGCUGCAUGAUAUUGUAAGUUAAGAUAAGUGCGUGUGGCAAUGCGUUUUUGCCCUCGAAUGCCGUAUUUUUGAGUGCUGUUGAGUAUCUGUUUAAAAACAUUAGCUGCUUAGUUAGGCGAACGAAUCCUCAAAACGUAGUACAAAUGCAGUCUGCCUA